This 785-nucleotide long non-coding RNA is filed under the name Rattus norvegicus (Norway rat). RNAcentral's name for it is "long non-coding RNA NONRATT011316". The record is from RNAcentral. Lineage: Eukaryota; Metazoa; Chordata; Mammalia; Rodentia; Muridae.
UGGAUGUAUCUGGAGUGAGGAGGAAUAAUGGUCCUUUUAGCAAGAGUGCUUUCUAUGUCAUAAAACACGCCUGAUUACAUUUUACAAAGCCUUCACGGUCAAGCCAAAUGUGCCUUUUUACAGACAGUUCAGUAAACAUUGUAUGUAUGUGUGAAUACAAACAUGCUUGUGUAGGUGGCUGUGAUGUAUGUGUCCAUCUGGUUAUGUGCAUGUGUGUGGGUGCUCAUGGAAGCCAGAAGUUGACUGGGCAUCUUACUCAGUCACCUCCCAUCUUAUUUUUGGAAGCAGGGUCUCUCACUGGACCUGGACCUCACUAGUUUCACUAGGCUGCCUGGUCAAUGGGCUCCUGAAAUCUCCCCGCAGUCCCCACCCCCACUGCUGGGAUUACAGAUACACAUUGCACCCUGCUUUUUACACUGGUUCUGGGGAGCCGAUUUUAGGUCCUCAUGCUGGCAUGGCAGGCAAUUUACCAGCUGACCCAUCUCCCCAGGGCCUCUUUUGAUGGAGUCUCGUCUGUUUUAAGAUACAUGAUGUCAGGAGAUGUUCCCAGUGCCCUCCAGGUAGACAUGGUACUGACCCAGGGCAGCUUAAAACACUUGUGUGGCGGGCUGGAGAGAUGGCUCAGUGGUUAAGAACACCCGACUGUUCUUCCAGAGGUCAUGAGUUCAAUUCCCAGCAACCACAUGGUGGCUCACAACCAUCUGUAAAGAGAUCCGAUGCCCUCUUCUGGUGUAUCUGAAGACAGCUACAGUGUACUUAUAUAUAAUAAAUAAAAUAAAUCUUUA